This 951-nucleotide ribosomal RNA is filed under the name unidentified. Its description in RNAcentral is "bacterial SSU rRNA". It matches the Rfam family "Bacterial small subunit ribosomal RNA", at positions 60 to 982 of the family's 1533-position model. The record is from RNAcentral.
AGCGAGCGGAACUAACAGAUUUACUUCGGUAAUGACGUUAGGAAAGCGAGCGGCGGAUGGGUGAGUAACACGUGGGGAACCUGCCCCAUAGUCUGGGAUACCACUUGGAAACAGGUGCUAAUACCGGAUAAGAAAGCAGAUCGCAUGAUCAGCUUUUAAAAGGCGGCGUAAGCUGUCGCUAUGGGAUGGCCCCGCGGUGCAUUAGCUAGUUGGUAAGGUAAAGGCUUACCAAGGCGAUGAUGCAUAGCCGAGUUGAGAGACUGAUCGGCCACAUUGGGACUGAGACACGGCCCAAACUCCUACGGGAGGCAGCAGUAGGGAAUCUUCCACAAUGGACGCAAGUCUGAUGGAGCAACGCCGCGUGAGUGAAGAAGGUUUUCGGAUCGUAAAGCUCUGUUGUUGGUGAAGAAGGAUAGAGGUAGUAACUGGCCUUUAUUUGACGGUAAUCAACCAGAAAGUCACGGCUAACUACGUGCCAGCAGCCGCGGUAAUACGUAGGUGGCAAGCGUUGUCCGGAUUUAUUGGGCGUAAAGCGAGCGCAGGCGGAAGAAUAAGUCUGAUGUGAAAGCCCUCGGCUUAACCGAGGAACUGCAUCGGAAACUGUUUUUCUUGAGUGCAGAAGAGGAGAGUGGAACUCCAUGUGUAGCGGUGGAAUGCGUAGAUAUAUGGAAGAACACCAGUGGCGAAGGCGGCUCUCUGGUCUGCAACUGACGCUGAGGCUCGAAAGCAUGGGUAGCGAACAGGAUUAGAUACCCUGGUAGUCCAUGCCGUAAACGAUGAGUGCUAAGUGUUGGGAGGUUUCCGCCUCUCAGUGCUGCAGCUAACGCAUUAAGCACUCCGCCUGGGGAGUACGACCGCAAGGUUGAAACUCAAAGGAAUUGACGGGGGCCCGCACAAGCGGUGGAGCAUGUGGUUUAAUUCGAAGCAACGCGAAGAACCUUACCAGGUCUU